This 268-nucleotide ribosomal RNA is filed under the name uncultured bacterium. Its description in RNAcentral is "partial 16S ribosomal RNA". It matches the Rfam family "Bacterial small subunit ribosomal RNA", at positions 57 to 305 of the family's 1533-position model. The record is from RNAcentral.
GCAAGUCGAGCGGGAUCCUUAGCAUUGAUCCUUCGGGUGUUUUGCUUUGAUGAGAGCGGCGAACGGGUGAGUAACACGUGAGCAACCUACCCUAAAGUUCGGGAUAGCCCGCCGAAAGGCGGAUUAAUACCGUAUGUGGUCCUUUAACGCAUGUUAGAGGUACUAAAGCUUGUAAUGGCGCUUUUGGAGGGGCUCGCGGCCUAUCAGCUUGUUGGUGAGGUAAUGGCUCACCAAGGCACAGACGGGUAGCUGGUCUGAGAGGAUGAUC